UAGCAAUUCAUGUAGUUUCUUAGACAGGC
Molecule: small RNA, 29 nt
Filed under: Bombyx mori (domestic silkworm)
Lineage: Eukaryota; Metazoa; Arthropoda; Insecta; Lepidoptera; Bombycidae
Description: ovarian small RNA-22233
Source: RNAcentral